UACUCUCUAAAACGUGAAGCUCUCUCUCCAUUCUCUAGUUCAUCUUCUGCGAUUCCAAGCAAGGGAGGAAGAAGGAAGAAGAAGCCGUGAGCACCCUCCAUAAUCCACCUUGAAGCCAUGAGUUUUGAAGCUUGCUUUCAAGAUUCAAUAGUUCAUCGUUCAAGUUCUUCAUCACCAUCUCCAUUCACGGUGGUUAAAUUAUAUGCUUGCUUUGAGCGUACCAAUUGGGCUUGUUGAGAAGAAGAUUUUUGGUUUAGGAAGUGUGGCCAAAUUUUGAGUUUGACGGCGGCUCUGCCACCGUCUGUGGCAGCCAUUUCCAGCCACCCCAGUGGUGACAGUUUCUGAUCUACGAAUCUGGUGUCACAAUAAUGACAGAGGCAAUUAUUAUCGUAAGGCUGAACCUUGGCCGAGGUGACAGGUUACGAUUCAGUUAGAGCUCUAGUCUGUCUGCCAUUGUAAUGCAUGGGGAUGACGCGUGGGGUUACUUGAGGCCCAUGAGUACACGUGUUUUUGAAAGAGAGUUUCGGGUGGUUGCUUUCUUUUGUUGUCCGAGAGGGAUAUGAGUUUCAUAUUAUGUUGUGAGUUGGAUUAAUAUGAUUUUAUCACUUAAUGAUUUAUUGGGAGUUGAUGGGUGAUCAUCUACUUUAGUCGAAGUUGAUGGGUGAUCAUCGACUAUCGACUUUAAUUUGGAGUUGA
Long non-coding RNA from Rosa chinensis, 696 nucleotides. RefSeq lists it as uncharacterized. Lineage: Eukaryota; Viridiplantae; Streptophyta; Magnoliopsida; Rosales; Rosaceae. The record is from RefSeq and is a predicted model, not a curated record. The transcript has 3 exons.